GGAAUGUUGAAGUUUCCAACUAUAAUUAUGAAUUUGUGUAUUUCUUAUCUCAGUUCUAGCAAGAAAACAAAGACCAGGGUGAUGAAGAAGUAACUGGGAGCCACAGUGGCUGUAACGAAAGCUAGACCAGAGCACCUGGAAUUAAACGAUGUUUUCAGUUGGUUUGAAUAGAAAGGCAGAUGCGCAAAAUGAAUACUGUACUCAGCUUCUUUUCGGAAGCCCAAGCGACCGUGCUCUGCGGCACAUUGCGGCCUUGGAGAGAACCAUCAGCAAUGGAGGAAAUGGACUUCGCGUGUGAUGUGAGGGGUUGACCGUACUUUGAAUCUUGUAUCCGUAUCUGUUGUGUUGACAGCGUUCACACGGAGAGUUCUUUCAAACGUAAAAUGUAAUUCUGUUGGUCACAGGCAAAAAAUCAUCAUGCUACAUCUUUUUUUUUUCGACAAUCAACUAGGGGGGCAGGGCGGGGGAGUAUUCUUUUAUGUGUUUCUUCCCCUAUGCAAUUCAAAAUGCAAGGCGGUAGAAUAAUAAAAUUAAAUGCGCAA
RNAcentral lists this long non-coding RNA (542 nucleotides) under Homo sapiens (human). Its description in RNAcentral is "HSALNT0403903". Lineage: Eukaryota; Metazoa; Chordata; Mammalia; Primates; Hominidae. The record is from RNAcentral.